UACGUAGGGUGCAAGCGUUAAUCGGAAUACUGGGCGUAAAGCGUGCGCAGGCGGUGAUGUAAGACAGGUGUGAAAUCCCCGGGCUUAACCUGGGAACUGCAUUUGUGACUGCAUCGCUGGAGUGCGGCAGAGGGGGAUGGAAUUCCGCGUGUAGCAGUGAAAUGCGUAGAGAUGUGGAGGAAUACCGAUGGCGAAGGCAGCCCCCUGGGCCAAUACUGACGCUCAUGCACGAAAGCGUGGGGAGCAAACAGG
This 252-nucleotide ribosomal RNA is filed under the name uncultured bacterium. RNAcentral's name for it is "partial 16S ribosomal RNA". It matches the Rfam family "Bacterial small subunit ribosomal RNA", at positions 524 to 776 of the family's 1533-position model. The record is from RNAcentral.